This 65-nucleotide transfer RNA is filed under the name Ochthebius lejolisii. Its description in RNAcentral is "tRNA-Ser". The record is from RNAcentral. Lineage: Eukaryota; Metazoa; Arthropoda; Insecta; Coleoptera; Hydraenidae.
AGUUAAUGAGCUUGAAAUAAGCAUAUAUUUUGAAAAUAUAAGAUAGAACCCUAUUCUAUUAACUU